CUGACUAGAAUUAUGAGUAUGACAACGUCAAGCUACUACAGACCCAACUUCCCGACCAAUUUCUUUUGUCGGCGGUGAUGAGUUGGGCUGGCAACCAGGCUAGAAUAUUGUAGGAUUACGGCUCAGAACAAGAUGGACUAGAAUCAGAGUGCCAUCAUAUAGGCUACGGCCUGAGUAUGCUGAGGAAUCUGUCCCUGUAGGAUGCAAAAAAUGUCUUCAUCUCUGGACCAGUUUAUCAUCGGAGUGAAGUGGAGGAGUUUGAUAAGGGGAUAUCUAAACAAUUGCGCACUGAAGGGAGACCAUUCAACUACAUGCCCAUCCACACCAAAGGAAGCAUCCUCAUGCAGCCCAUCCACCAUAGAGGUUCACCACCAGCAGCAGAGAAAGAAGCGGUGGAUCCUCCGCAGCACCACCAUCCCACAUUACUCAAAGAAAAUGUUUUUGUUGUGAUGAUGACAUAAA
Hypomesus transpacificus is the source of this 462-nucleotide long non-coding RNA. RefSeq lists it as uncharacterized. Lineage: Eukaryota; Metazoa; Chordata; Actinopteri; Osmeriformes; Osmeridae. The record is from RefSeq and is a predicted model, not a curated record. The transcript has 4 exons.